Molecule: long non-coding RNA, 832 nt
Organism: Alosa sapidissima (American shad)
Lineage: Eukaryota; Metazoa; Chordata; Actinopteri; Clupeiformes; Clupeidae
Exons: 2
Source: RefSeq, a predicted model, not a curated record
ACAGGGCCUGCUGAGGACAAUGGACAUUGUCCAGGAAUGCAGCCUUGCAAGGGACCUGCACCAAUCACAGGGCCUGCUGAGAAUCACAGACAUCCUCUAGCAAUGCAGCCUAUCAAGAUCUUAUAUUAAGGUUAUAUAAUGUUUACCAAGUCUCAAAGAAUACCUGCUGAGAGACUUCAGAGCUGAGGUGUGGCCACUGCCACAGGUAUGCACAGAGAUUGUCCAUGCGUCUGUUCCCUGGGACACACCAAUGGCGAGGACUGCUGAGGCUCAUCCGCUCAUCUGCCAGCCACACAACCUAUCGAACUACCAGACGGAGAGCCUGUUGAGACCCCUCCUUUUUCAUUGGUGGUUGUGGUGGUGCAGAGGGACUUGUACUUGUCAAAGAGCCUGUUCAGGGUCAUGGACCUCCACCAGCCUUGCGACUAAUAGCGGUUACUUGUAACAGUCAGAGCCUGUUUAGGCUCAUGAACCCUCAUCAGCCUUGGGACCUGCUGAGGUUCAUGUAGCUGAUCUUGGCCAUCUACAACAGCACUACCAGACAGUAUUAUAAAGGGCAAUGAGCUGUAGAUGUGGCCAUCUACUGACUACCGGUUAAAAGAUUGACUUUGUCCUGUAGAUUGGUAUAGGCCCAUUUAGUAAUACAAGUGAAUUAGAAAUAGUUGGGGAUUUAACGACUUCAUGUUUUGCACUUGUGUGGUCAAGUAUUUAUAUAUGUUUUUGCAUUUUGUCAGUUUUAUUUUUUACUAUUUUGGGCAUGUUUGUUUUUUGUUUUGUCAUUGUUUUGUAUGGAACUUUCUUUUUCUUACAAUACAUUUGAUACAAUAAUUCA